RNAcentral lists this ribosomal RNA (124 nucleotides) under uncultured bacterium. Its description in RNAcentral is "partial 16S ribosomal RNA". It matches the Rfam family "Bacterial small subunit ribosomal RNA", at positions 355 to 477 of the family's 1533-position model. The record is from RNAcentral.
UAGGGAAUUUUGCGCAAUGGGCGAAAGCCUGACGCAGCGACGCCGCGUGAGGGAUGAAGGUCUUCGUGAUCGUAAACCUCUGUCAGGAAGCAUUAAAUGUAUAGGUAUUAAUACCAUCUAUGCU